UUAAGUUCAGCGGGUAUCCCUACCUGAUCCGAGGUCAAAAGUUGAAAAAAAGGCUUAAUGGAUGCUAGACCUUUGCUGAUAGAGAGUGCGACUUGUGCUGCGCUCCGAAACCAGUAGGCCGGCUGCCAAUUACUUUAAGGCGAGUCUCCAGCAAAGCUAGAGACAAGACGCCCAACACCAAGCAAAGCUUGAGGGUACAA
This 200-nucleotide unclassified non-coding RNA is filed under the name Alternaria sp. Its description in RNAcentral is "partial internal transcribed spacer 2". Lineage: Eukaryota; Fungi; Ascomycota; Dothideomycetes; Pleosporales; Pleosporaceae. The record is from RNAcentral.